AGAGUUUGAUUCUGGCUCAGAACGAACGCUGGCGGCGUGGAUAAGGCAUGCAAGUCGAACGGUUCUGAUGUUUUAGCAAUAAGGCGUCAGAAUAGUGGCGAAAGGGUGCGUAACACGUGGCUGACCUACCUCGAAGUGGGGGACAACCCGGCGAAAGCCUGGUUAAUACCGCAUGUGAUCGCGAGAUCAAAGCUGGGGAUCCGCAAGGACCUGGCGCUUCAAGAUGGGGCCGCGGCCUAUCAGGUGGUUGGCGGGGUAAUGGCCCACCAAGCCGAUGACGGGUAGCUGGUCUGAGAGGACGACCAGCCACACUGGAACUGAGACACGGUCCAGACACCUACGGGUGGCAGCAGCCGAGGAUUUUUCUCAAUGGGCGAAAGCCUGAAGGAGCGACGCCGCGUGGGGGAUGACGGUCUUCGGAUUGUAAACCCCUGUCAUCUGGGAACAAUGGUUGCGACCUAACACGUCGUAAUUUGAUAGUACUGGAAGAGGAAGCCGUGGCUAACUCUGUGCCAGCAGCCGCGGUAAUACAGAGACGGCAAGCGUUGUUCGGAUUCAUUGGGCGUAAAGGGUCCGUAGGCGGUCGAGCAAGUCGGGUGUGAAAUCCCGCAGCCUAACUGCGGAAGGUCAUUCGAAACUGCUCGGCUCGAGGGCUGGAGAGGAGACUGGAAUGGUCGGUGUAGCGGUGAAAUGCGUAGAGAUCGACCAGAACACCGGUGGCGAAGGCGGGUCUCUGGACAGUUCCUGACGCUGAGGGACGAAAGCUAGGGGAGCAAACGGGAUUAGAUACCCCGGUAGUCCUAGCCCUAAACUGUGCUCACUUGGUGUGGGGGGAGUCGACCCCCUCCGUGCCGGAGUUAACGCGUUAAGUGAGCCGCCUGGGGAGUACGGCCGCAAGGCUAAAACUCAAAGAAAUUGACGGGGGCCCGCACAAGCGGUGGAGCAUGUGGCUUAAUUCGAUCCACGCGAAGAACCUUACCUGGCCUUGACAUGUCGCGUGAAAGCCGGUGAAGGCCGGUGACGGCCCGAAAGGGUGUUGGGGCGACACAGGUGCUGCAUGGUUGUCGUCAGCUCGUGUCGUGAGAUGUUGGCUUAAGUGCCGCAACGAGCGCAACCCUUGUGUUUAGUUGCCACUUCCUCGCAAGAGGAAAGCACUCUAAACAGACUGCCUCGCUUCAAACGAGGAGGAAGGUGGGGAUGACGUCAAAUCAGUAUGGCCCUUACGGCCAGGGCUGCACACGUGCUACAAUGCCCGGUACAGAGGGACGCAAGACCGCAAGGUGGAGCAAAUCCCUGAAAACCGGGCUCAGUUCGGAUUGAAGGCUGCAACUCGCCUUCAUGAAGCUGGAAUCGCUAGUAAUGGCGCAUCAGCUACGGCGCCGUGAGUACGUUCCCGGGCCUUGUACACACCGCCCGUCACAUCAUGGAAGCCGGCUGCACCCGAAGUCGUCGCGCCAACCCGCAAGGGAGGCAGACGCCGAAGGUAUGGCUGGUGACUGGGAUGAAGUCGAAACAAGGUA
RNAcentral lists this ribosomal RNA (1520 nucleotides) under metagenome. Its description in RNAcentral is "bacterial SSU rRNA". It matches the Rfam family "Bacterial small subunit ribosomal RNA". The record is from RNAcentral.